GACGAACGCUGGCGGCGUGCUUAACACAUGCAAGUCGAACGGUGAAGCGCUUUCCUUUUUGGUUGGUGUGGAUGAGUGGCGAACGGGUGAGUAACACGUGAGUAACCUGCCCCCUUCUUCUGGAUAACCGCAUGAAAGUGUGGCUAAUACGGGAUAUUCUGCGCCUGCUGCAUGGUGGGUGUGGGAAAGAUUGUGCCUUUGGGUGUUUUCGGUGGGGGAUGGGCUCGCGGCCUAUCAGCUUGUUGGUGGGGUGAUGGCCUACCAAGGCGGUGACGGGUAGCCGGCCUGAGAGGGUGGACGGUCACACUGGGACUGAGACACGGACCAGACUCCUACGGGAGGCAGCAGUGGGGAAUAUUGCACAAUGGGCGCAAGCCUGAUGCAGCGACGCCGCGUGAGGGAUGGAGGCCUUCGGGUUGUGAACCUCUUUCGCCAGUGAAGCAGGCCUGCUCCUUGUGGGUGGGUUGACGGUAGCUGGAUAAGAAGCGCCGGCUAACUACGUG
This 503-nucleotide ribosomal RNA is filed under the name uncultured bacterium. RNAcentral's name for it is "partial 16S ribosomal RNA". It matches the Rfam family "Bacterial small subunit ribosomal RNA", at positions 28 to 507 of the family's 1533-position model. The record is from RNAcentral.